GAGACAAGCAUAUGACUACUGGCAGGAUCAACCAGGUAGCAUUCCUCCGCGACGUCGCGCUUCGCCCUCGCACCGCCGGGGCGGUCGAGGGGCGGGAGCGGCCGUCAUACAUUACACAUGUCGAAGCUUCUCUUGGGACUGGGACGUGAGUCCCAGCCCACGGCGUGCGCUGGGUCCGAGAGCGUCGCACUUCCCCGCGGGCCACGCGACCUGCGGAGGCUCGGUGGAACGCGGGGGGUGCUCCGUUGUCCUCCUGCGCCCACUGGAAGGCGCAGGAUGGAGGCUUAACCGUCAAGUGGCCUGGCUCCCUUGAAGGGGUAGGCAACACAAGAACCAGCCUCUGGGGAACCAUCCCGCCUCGCGCGACCGAAGCGGAUUGCCCGCCUCCCGUUCGGUGGACGAGCACGGAGCCAGCCGGCAGAGACAAUCCAAACACCA
Molecule: unclassified non-coding RNA, 438 nt
Filed under: Paraserianthes lophantha
Lineage: Eukaryota; Viridiplantae; Streptophyta; Magnoliopsida; Fabales; Fabaceae
Description: partial external transcribed spacer
Source: RNAcentral